This 301-nucleotide ribosomal RNA is filed under the name uncultured bacterium. Its description in RNAcentral is "partial 16S ribosomal RNA". It matches the Rfam family "Bacterial small subunit ribosomal RNA", at positions 509 to 807 of the family's 1533-position model. The record is from RNAcentral.
CAGUCGCCGCGGUAAUACGGAGGGUGCAAGCGUUAAUCGGAAUUACUGGGCGUAAAGCGCACGCAGGCGGUCUGUCAAGUCGGAUGUGAAAUCCCCGGGCUCAACCUGGGAACUGCAUCCGAAACUGGCAGGCUAGAGUCUUGUAGAGGGGGGUAGAAUUCCAGGUGUAGCGGUGAAAUGCGUAGAGAUCUGGAGGAAUACCGGUGGCGAAGGCGGCCCCCUGGACAAAGACUGACGCUCAGGUGCGAAAGCGUGGGGAGCAAACAGGAUUAGAGACCCCAGUAGUCCCUGUCUCUUAUAC